This 120-nucleotide small nuclear RNA is filed under the name Papilio machaon (common yellow swallowtail). RNAcentral's name for it is "U1 spliceosomal RNA". It matches the Rfam family "U1 spliceosomal RNA", at positions 1 to 121 of the family's 166-position model. From Rfam's summary of the family: U1 is a small nuclear RNA (snRNA) component of the spliceosome (involved in pre-mRNA splicing). Its 5' end forms complementary base pairs with the 5' splice junction, thus defining the 5' donor site of an intron. The record is from Rfam by way of RNAcentral. Lineage: Eukaryota; Metazoa; Arthropoda; Insecta; Lepidoptera; Papilionidae.
AUACUUACCUGGCGUAGGGGCUACCGUGAUCACGAAGGCGGUUCCCCCAGGGCGAGGCCCCUCCAUUGCACUGCGGUUGGGUUGACCCCUGCGAUUAUCCCUAAUGCGGAUAACUCGGAC